Long non-coding RNA from Thalassophryne amazonica, 100 nucleotides. RefSeq lists it as uncharacterized. Lineage: Eukaryota; Metazoa; Chordata; Actinopteri; Batrachoidiformes; Batrachoididae. The record is from RefSeq and is a predicted model, not a curated record. The transcript has 3 exons.
GUUUGAUAACUUAUUAAAUCUCAAAUGUGGGAGUUUGUGUGUUUAAUGACGUUUAUGCACAAAAUGAUGGUUCGGUUUUAAUGAACAUAAAGUUACAGAU